This is a long non-coding RNA of Larimichthys crocea (large yellow croaker), 620 nucleotides long. RefSeq lists it as uncharacterized. The record is from RefSeq and is a predicted model, not a curated record. Lineage: Eukaryota; Metazoa; Chordata; Actinopteri; Sciaenidae. The transcript is spliced from 3 exons.
UUAUGAAGACACUUGUAAAAAUGACUAACUGGUACAUUAUCAUCUGACCGGCUACUUAUUAAGGUUUCCACUGUUGUAUUCUUGGCUCUCCAGCAGCAGCUCAUCACCAUGGCAACGCUGCACGCUCACAGUGUGGAUGCAUGAAGGGUGCUUGGGUGCGACUUCUUCACCUCAGCUAACCCAGAACACCAAUUGAAUGCAUCAUCUCUGGGCAAAAGGAUAACCAUCAAGGCUUCCUCCUACUGAGGUAACCACUUCACCGGAAGUAUGAGCUGCAGCCACAGAGGAUCAUCUAUGGGGGCGUUAAAUCCAACGCCAUCAGUUCUGAUCACGACGUCACACACAGAUUUCUCUCCAGAGUGAGUUCACUACAGACUGCACCAGCCCCGCCAGGACCAUUGGUCUGCUGGAUCCCAGUGUGAGGGACCGGUGGCUCGGCCUGACAGUCUGUUCACACUCAGCAGCCUCCAUCUCCGCGCUUCUGUUGUUCUCUCAUCAAUCGAUAAGUGAAGGUGGGGUCUGUUCAGUGGGGCGUGGACCUCGGCUCCCAGCUGGAGUCUGUGGAGCGCACACAGGAGAGAGAAACGACGUCAAGGCGGACAGAAGGAGGCACAAUCAUA